This 127-nucleotide transfer RNA is filed under the name Actinoplanes flavus. RNAcentral describes it as "Actinoplanes sp. NEAU-H7 tRNA-OTHER". The record is from RNAcentral. Lineage: Bacteria; Bacillati; Actinomycetota; Actinomycetes; Micromonosporales; Micromonosporaceae.
GGGCCGGUGGCAGAGCCGGGCUAUUGCAGCGUCGAUGAGUUGACAGCCGGUACGCACGGCGGUUCAGCGACGCGUGGGGCCACUGGCGUGCCAUGCCCCACCAGGGGUUCGAAUCCCCUCCGGCCCG